Molecule: ribosomal RNA, 307 nt
Filed under: Escherichia coli
Lineage: Bacteria; Pseudomonadati; Pseudomonadota; Gammaproteobacteria; Enterobacterales; Enterobacteriaceae
Description: partial 23S ribosomal RNA
Rfam family: Bacterial large subunit ribosomal RNA
Source: RNAcentral
CUGCCGUGGGCGCUGGAGAACUGAGGGGGGCUGCUCCUAGUACGAGAGGACCGGAGUGGACGCAUCACUGGUGUUCGGGUUGUCAUGCCAAUGGCACUGCCCGGUAGCUAAAUGCGGAAGAGAUAAGUGCUGAAAGCAUCUAAGCACGAAACUUGCCCCGAGAUGAGUUCUCCCUGACUCCUUGAGAGUCCUGAAGGAACGUUGAAGACGACGACGUUGAUAGGCCGGGUGUGUAAGCGCAGCGAUGCGUUGAGCUAACCGGUACUAAUGAACCGUGAGGCUUAACCUUACAACGCCGAAGGUGUUU